CAGUAGCCACGGGAAUACGUAGGUGGCAAGCGUUGUCCGGAAUUAUUGGGCGUAAAGCGCGCGCAGGCGGAUAGGUCAGUCUGUCUUAAAAGUUCGGGGCUUAACCCCGUGAUGGGAUGGAAACUGCCAAUCUAGAGUAUCGGAGAGGAAAGUGGAAUUCCUAUUGUAGCGGUGAAAUGCGUAGAUAUUAGGAAGAACACCAGUGGCGAAGGCGACUCUCUGGUCUGUAACUGACGCUGAGACGCGAAAGCGUGGGGAGCAAACAGGAUUAGAUACCCCUGUAGUCCCUGUCUCUUAUACA
RNAcentral lists this ribosomal RNA (301 nucleotides) under uncultured bacterium. RNAcentral's name for it is "partial 16S ribosomal RNA". It matches the Rfam family "Bacterial small subunit ribosomal RNA", at positions 509 to 808 of the family's 1533-position model. The record is from RNAcentral.